AGGGACCCCCAGAUACAUUCUUCUCUAAGCUCAAAACUCUAUCCCAAAACUCUGCUAAAAUUUCAUUUGAGUGCUCCAUUUCUGUUGAGGUAGAGUACUGACUUGAGCGUUGGAGGAUCUUGUCGGAGCACCUCCAACUCUGGUUUAGACUUUCUUUGCAGGUCCCGACAGUGGACGUGAUCCCCUCGACUCCAACUUCUCCGACGUCGAUGGAUUUCUGC
This 221-nucleotide long non-coding RNA is filed under the name Elaeis guineensis (African oil palm). Its description in RNAcentral is "long non-coding RNA (EGUI_LNC060644)". The record is from RNAcentral. Lineage: Eukaryota; Viridiplantae; Streptophyta; Magnoliopsida; Arecales; Arecaceae.